RNAcentral lists this ribosomal RNA (498 nucleotides) under uncultured bacterium. Its description in RNAcentral is "partial 16S ribosomal RNA". It matches the Rfam family "Bacterial small subunit ribosomal RNA", at positions 29 to 523 of the family's 1533-position model. The record is from RNAcentral.
AUUGAACGCUGGCGGCAUGCCUUACACAUGCAAGUCGAACGGUAACGCGGGGCAACCUGGCGACGAGUGGCGAACGGGUGAGUAAUGCAUCGGAACGUGCCCAAUAGUGGGGGAUAGCCCGGCGAAAGCCGGAUUAAUACCGCAUACGACCUACGGGUGAAAGCAGGGGAUCGCAAGACCUUGCGCUAAUGGAGCGGCCGAUGUCAGAUUAGGUUGUUGGUGGGGUAAAAGCCCACCAAGCCGACGAUCUGUAGCUGGUCUGAGAGGACGACCAGCCACACGGGGACUGAGACACGGCCCAGACUCCUACGGGAGGCAGCAGUGGGGAAUUUUGGACAAUGGGCGCAAGCCUGAUCCAGCCAUGCCGCGUGCGGGAUGAAGGCCUUCGGGUUGUAAACCGCCUUUGUUAGGGAAGAAAUCUUUUGAGCUAAUACCUCGGAAGGAUGACGGUACCUAAAGAAUAAGCACCGGCUAACUACGUGCCAGCCGCCGCCGUAA